GCAUUAAUAGCUCAGUGAGAGAGCACCAGUCUUGUAAGCUGGACGCCGGGGGUUAGAGUCCCCCUUAAUGUC
This 72-nucleotide transfer RNA is filed under the name Lampris guttatus (North Atlantic opah). Its description in RNAcentral is "tRNA-Thr". It matches the Rfam family "tRNA". Rfam says of the family: Transfer RNA (tRNA) molecules are approximately 80 nucleotides in length. The record is from RNAcentral. Lineage: Eukaryota; Metazoa; Chordata; Actinopteri; Lampriformes; Lampridae.